RNAcentral lists this ribosomal RNA (440 nucleotides) under uncultured bacterium. RNAcentral describes it as "partial 16S ribosomal RNA". It matches the Rfam family "Bacterial small subunit ribosomal RNA", at positions 338 to 795 of the family's 1533-position model. The record is from RNAcentral.
CCUACGGGAGGCAGCAGUAGGGAAUAUUGCUCAAUGGGGGAAACCCUGAAGCAGCAACGCCGCGUGGAGGAUGAAGGUUUUAGGAUUUUAAACUCCUUUUGUUGGGGAAGAUAAUGACGGUAUCUAACGAAUAAGCACCGGCUAACUCCGUGCCAGCAGCCGCGGUAAUACGGAGGGUGCAAGCGUUACUCGGAAUCACUGGGCGUAAAGAGCGCGUAGGCGGGAUAAGAAGUCAGAUGUGAAAUCCUAUGGCUUAACCAUAGAACUGCAUUUGAAACUGUUAUUCUAGAGUAUGGGAGAGGUAGGUGGAAUUCUUGGUGUAGGGGUAAAAUCCGUAGAGAUCACGAGGAAUACUCAUUGCGAAGGCGACCUGCUAGAACAUAACUGACGCUGAUGCGCGAAAGCGUGGGGAGCAAACAGGAUUAGAUACCCCUGUAGUC